UCGUGUUUCGCAAACACUGUCGCGGCUUUUUCCUGAAGCCUAAUACCACCUCUUUUUCUCGAAGCAGAGGCAGAGUGAGCUACGGCUACCACACAACAACGGUCGACUUUUUCAGCUCCUAAGCUUCUCUGUUCCGUACGUUUCCAUAACACUCGCACGCAAUUCGUUCCAAUUCCAUGUCCCAAAAAGCUUAACAAAACAGGAAUCAAGCUUCAUGUAACAUUCACAAAGAAGCUGCACUGAGAAUAUGAUCCUACCAGUGGUGAAGUUGGGGACCCUCGCUCUCAAAACUAUUUGCAAACCCAUUGCCAAUCGGCUUAAAAAGGAGGCUGGCUUGCACCCCAAGUUCAGACACUUCAUUAUCGACUUCGCCCAGGCAAAUCAUCGAUUCACAACAAAAAUGCAAAGACGCAUUUAUGGUCAGGCAACUAAUGCUGCAAUACACCCACUUAACGAGGAGAAAGCUGUACAAGCUGCUGCAGAUCUACUUGGGGAACUCUUUAUCUUCACGGUUGCUGGAGCUGCUGUUAUUUUUGAGGUGCAAAGAAGUUCCAGAUCAGAAGCAAGAAAGGAGGAACUGCGCAAGCAGGAAUUACAGGCAAUGAAGCAAAGAGAUGACGAUUUGACUAAAGAAGUUGGGCUUCUUAGAAACAAGAUUGAGGAGCUAGAAAAACUUGCCAAGGGACGAGGACUCGCUGGUAUUUUCAACUUCAGGCAUGCCCAUACCAUUGAAGAUGAUAAAUCAAAAAACACAUGAUCAUUGCAAAAAGUACAGAAUUAAGUAAUCUUGUAAGCAUCAACUUCCUUAGAAAAUCACAACAUUCCAGAGAACCCAAUCAUUCAAAGGAAGGCUUGGGGUAACUAAUGUCACAACUAUUCAAACAAAACAGGCUCUGAUUAUUUUGGAGUUUAUUAAUAGAACCCCUUCAAACUUGAAGAAAAAAAUCAGAAUAAUUUUUACAGAUUUACUCGAAAUUUUAUAGAAGGAAGUUUGUAUGUUGUAGUUCUAUGCAAAUUAUACAGUUUCUGCUGAAUUUUUUUCUUCUAGACCAUUUAGGUAGAUAGGAGUCCACACUUUUUAAUGCUCAAUUGUUUCUUAUGCAACAACUGGUCAACAAGAUGCCUUAGAGCAUUAGCAUCAAAUGUUCUAAAAAUAUGUUAUUUUAACAUAUCAAAAAAUUAGAACUUUAUUAUUUUAGCAUAGUAUUUUGGACAAUACACGGUAUAUCUCAUCUUCAAUUAUUGGGCA
Quercus robur (English oak) is the source of this 1249-nucleotide RNA transcript. It is a transcript of the gene named OPA3-like protein, with no coding region annotated. The record is from RefSeq and is a predicted model, not a curated record. Lineage: Eukaryota; Viridiplantae; Streptophyta; Magnoliopsida; Fagales; Fagaceae. The transcript has 5 exons.